RNAcentral lists this ribosomal RNA (1590 nucleotides) under Triticum aestivum (bread wheat). RNAcentral's name for it is "partial small subunit ribosomal RNA". Lineage: Eukaryota; Viridiplantae; Streptophyta; Magnoliopsida; Poales; Poaceae. The record is from RNAcentral.
AUGAUGAAAUUACUGGAAUUUAAUUUCAAAAUCCAGUAUAAGAAAGGAACAACCAACAAGGUAGCUGAUGCAUUAUCCAGAAUCCUUCCAAGUUGUUUUGCUAUGUCACCUAUCACACCUAUAUGGGCUGAGGAUCUGUUGCUAAUUUAUCAACAGGAUCCAGUCGGUAAGAAAUUACUAGAGCAACUGCUAUUGCAACAAAACACUGACAAUUCUGAUUAUACCAUACAUGCUGGUAUAAUCAGAUACAAAGGAAAAAUUCUGGUAGGAAAUACUCCUACACUCAGAACUCAGUUAAUACAGGCUCUCCACAGCUCACCUAUAGGAGGACACUCAGGGAUGAGAGCUACAUACCAGAGGAUCAAGAAUAUUUUCUAUUGGCCUGGUCUGAAACAUGAAGUGGAAACAUUUAUAGCUGCAUGCCCUGUUUGCCAGAGAGCAAAACAUGAGAACUGCUUGCAGCCAGGUCUACUGGAUCCCCUUCCUGUAGCAGACAUGGCAUGGCAACAUGUGAGCAUGGACUUCAUUGAAGGCCUGCCAAACUCUCAGGGCAAGGAAGUUAUUAUGGUGGUGGUAGAUAGAUUUACCAAAUAUGCCCAUUUUAUCCCACUGUCCCAUCCCUAUAUUGUCUUGAGUGUAGCACAAGCAUUUGUUGAUCACAUCGUUAAGUUGCAUGGACCCCCUAAAUUGAUCAUAUCUGACAGAGACAGGAUUUUUACAAGCCAACUUUGGAAAGAUAUAUUUGCUGCUUUGCAUGUGGAAUUAAGAUAUAGUACAGCUUACCACCCUCAGACAGAUGGUCAAAUGGAACGAGUAAACCAAUGCGUGGAAACUUAUUUGAGGUGUAUGACUACUAAUGAACCAAAAAAAUGGGUCUCGUGGAUGUCUUUGGCUGAAUUUUGGUACAAUUCCACAUACCACACUGCCUUGAAGAUGUCUCCAUUUCAGGCACUAUAUGGAUUUCCCCCUCCCCUCAUCUCUGAAUUAGCAAUUCCUGGUCCUGAAGAAAAGGAGGCACAAGAUUUCCUCAGUGCUAAACAUCACAUGUUGGAUUUGCUCAAGAGCAACUUGCAACAAGCACAAAACAAGAUGAAACACUGUGCUGAUAUGAAAAGAGUGGAAAGAGUUUUUCAAGUUGGGGAGCUAGUUUAUCUGAAAAUGGCCCCAUACAGAUUGGCAGCUUUUGGUUUUCGAGGAGCUUUGAAACUCCAGAACAGAUACUAUGGCCCUUUCUUAAUCACACAAAAAGUGGGACAGUCAGCUUACAAGCUCCAAUUCCCUACAGACGUCAAGAUCCAUCCAGUGUUUCACUUGAGCCAGCUCAAGAAGCACAUUGGAAACAAAUCCAUUCCCAGCCCUCAUUUACCAAUGGUGAACGCAGAUGGAACGAUCAAAACGGGUCCAGAAGGAGUUCUGCAAGUCAGGCAAAUUCCAAAGCACAACAAACCGGUGGUCCAAUGGCUUAUUCAUUGGAAGAAUUUACCUGCAGACGAAGCCACCUGGGAGGACGCAGAUUUCAUCAAAUAUACAUUUCCGGAAUUCUUCAAAGCAACAACUCAAGGUUGGCGCGAAGCGGGGCACACGCCGUGA